RNAcentral lists this ribosomal RNA (308 nucleotides) under uncultured bacterium. Its description in RNAcentral is "partial 16S ribosomal RNA". It matches the Rfam family "Archaeal small subunit ribosomal RNA", at positions 455 to 760 of the family's 1478-position model. The record is from RNAcentral.
GAGACAGCAGUCGCCGCGGGAAAACCAGCACCUCGAGUGGUCAGGAGGUUUAUUGGGCCUAAAGCAUCCGUAGCCGGUUGCAUAAGUUUUCGGUUAAAUCUAUGCGCUUAACGUAUAGGCCGCCGAAAAUACUGUGCAGCUAGGGAGUGGGAGAGGUACACGGUACUCGAUAGGAAGGGGUAAAAUCCUUUGAUCUAUUGAUGACCACCUGUGGCGAAGGCGGUGUACCAGAACACGUUCGACGGUGAGGGAUGAAAGCUGGGGGAGCAAACCGGAUUAGAUACCCGUGUAGUCCCUGUCUCUUAUAC